This 497-nucleotide ribosomal RNA is filed under the name uncultured bacterium. RNAcentral describes it as "partial 16S ribosomal RNA". It matches the Rfam family "Bacterial small subunit ribosomal RNA", at positions 28 to 507 of the family's 1533-position model. The record is from RNAcentral.
GAUGAACGCUGGCGGCGUGCCUAAUACAUGCAAGUCGAGCGAACGGACGAGAAUCUUGCUUCUCUGCUGUUAGCGGCGGACGGGUGAGUAACACGUGGAUACCCUACCUAUAAGACUGGGAUAACUUCGGGAACCCGGAGCUAAUACAGGAUAAUAUUUUGAACCGCAUGGUUCAAAAGUGAAAGCCGGUCUUGCUGUCACUUAUAGAUGGAUCCGCGCUGCAUUAGCUAGUUGGUAAGGUAACGGCUUACCAAGGCAACGAUGCAUAGCCGACCUGAGAGGGUGAUCGGCCACACUGGAACUGAGACACGGUCCAGACUCCUACGGGAGGCAGCAGUAGGGAAUCUUCCGCAAUGGGCGAAAGCCUGACGGAGCAACGCCGCGUGAGUGAUGAAGGUCUUCGGAUCGUAAAACUCUGUUAUUAGGGAAGAACAUAUGUGUAAGUAACUGUGCACAUCUUGACGGUACCUAAUCAGAAAGCCACGGCUAACUACGUG